AUACGGAGGGUGCAAGCGUUAUUCGGAAUCACUGGGCGUAAAGGACGCGUAGGCGGGUUGGCAAGUCAGAUGUGAAAUCCUACAGCUUAACUGUAGAACUGCAUUUGAAACUGCUAACCUAGAGUAUGGGAGGGGAGAUGGAAUUAGUGGUGUAGGGGUAAAAUCCGUAGAUAUCACUAGGAAUACCGAAAGCGAAGGCGAUCUCCUGGAACAUAACUGACGCUAAGGCGUGAAAGCGUGGGGAGCAAACAGGAUUAGAAACCCCAGUAGUCC
This 273-nucleotide ribosomal RNA is filed under the name uncultured bacterium. RNAcentral describes it as "partial 16S ribosomal RNA". It matches the Rfam family "Bacterial small subunit ribosomal RNA", at positions 523 to 796 of the family's 1533-position model. The record is from RNAcentral.